Molecule: ribosomal RNA, 498 nt
Filed under: uncultured bacterium
Lineage: Bacteria
Description: partial 16S ribosomal RNA
Rfam family: Bacterial small subunit ribosomal RNA
Source: RNAcentral
GACGAACGCUGGCGGCGUGCCUAAUACAUGCAAGUCGAGCGGACCGAACAGGAGCUUGCUCUUGUUCGGUUAGCGGCGGACGGGUGAGUAACACGUGGGUAACCUGCCCGUAAGACCGGGAUAACUCCGGGAAACCGGAGCUAAUACCGGAUAACACCGAAGACCGCAUGGUCUUUGGUUGAAAGGCGGCUUCGGCUGCCACUUACGGAUGGGCCCGCGGCGCAUUAGCUAGUUGGUGAGGUAACGGCUCACCAAGGCGACGAUACGUAGCCGGCCUGAGAGGGGGACGGGCCACACGGGGCCUGAGACCGGGCCCAGACCCCUAGGGGGGGACGCAGGAGGGAAUCUCCCGAAAUGGACGAAAGUCGGACGGGGCGGCGCCGGGGGAGGGAAGAAGGUUUUCGGAUCGUAAAGCUUUUUUGUUAGGGAAGAAGAAGGGUCGUUCGAACAGGGCGGCGGGGUGACGGUCCCUAACGAAAAAGCCCCGGCUAACUACGU